This 305-nucleotide ribosomal RNA is filed under the name uncultured bacterium. RNAcentral's name for it is "bacterial SSU rRNA". It matches the Rfam family "Bacterial small subunit ribosomal RNA", at positions 338 to 660 of the family's 1533-position model. The record is from RNAcentral.
CCUACGGGACGCAGCAGUGGGGAAUAUUGCACAAUGGGGGGAACCCUGAUGCAGCGACGCCGCGUGGGUGAGGAAGUACUUCGGUAUGUAAAGCCCUAUCAGCAGGGAAGAAAAUGACGGUACCUGACUAAGAAGCCCCGGCUAACUACGUGCCAGCAGCCGCGGUAAUACGUAGGGGGCAAGCGUUAUCCGGAUUUACUGGGUGUAAAGGGGGCGCAGACGGCAGCGCAAGCCAGGAGUGAAAGCCCGGGGCCCAACCCCGGGACUGCUCUUGGAACUGCGCGGCUGGAGUGCAGGAGGGGCAG